RNAcentral lists this ribosomal RNA (745 nucleotides) under uncultured bacterium. Its description in RNAcentral is "bacterial SSU rRNA". It matches the Rfam family "Bacterial small subunit ribosomal RNA", at positions 33 to 773 of the family's 1533-position model. The record is from RNAcentral.
ACGCUGGCGGCAGGCCUAACACAUGCAAGUCGAGCGGUAGAGAGAAGCUUGCUUCUCUUGAGAGCGGCGGACGGGUGAGUAAUGCCUAGGAAUCUGCCUGGUAGUGGGGGAUAACGUUCGGAAACGGACGCUAAUACCGCAUACGUCCUACGGGAGAAAGCAGGGGACCUUCGGGUCUUGCGCUAUCAGAUGAGCCUAGGUCGGAUUAGCUAGUUGGUGAGGUAAUGGCUCACCAAGGCGACGAUCCGUAACUGGUCUGAGAGGAUGAUCAGUCACACUGGAACUGAGACACGGUCCAGACUCCUACGGGAGGCAGCAGUGGGGAAUAUUGGACAAUGGGCGAAAGCCUGAUCCAGCCAUGCCGCGUGUGUGAAGAAGGUCUUCGGAUUGUAAAGCACUUUAAGUUGGGAGGAAGGGCAUUAACCUAAUACGUUAGUAUUUUGACGUUACCGACAGAAUAAGCACCGGCUAACUCUGUGCCAGCAGCCGCGGUAAUACAGAGGGUGCAAGCGUUAAUCGGAAUUACUGGGCGUAAAGCGCGCGUAGGUGGUUUGUUAAGUUGGAUGUGAAAUCCCCGGGCUCAACCUGGGAACUGCAUUCAAAACUGACUGACUAGAGUAUGGUAGAGGGUGGUGGAAUUUCCUGUGUAGCGGUGAAAUGCGUAGAUAUAGGAAGGAACACCAGUGGCGAAGGCGACCACCUGGACUAAUACUGACACUGAGGUGCGAAAGCGUGGGGAGCAAAC